AGAGUUUGAUCCUGGCUCAGGAUGAACGCUGGCGGUAUGCUUAACACAUGCAAGUCGAACGGUCUCUUCGGAGAUAGUGGCGGACGGGUGAGUAACGCGUGAGAAUCUGGCUCUAGGUCUGGGACAACAUUGGGAAACCGAUGCUAAUACCAGAUGUGCCGAGAGGUGAAAGGCUAGCUGCCUGGAGAUGAGCUCGCGUCAGAUUAGCUAGUAGGUGGGGUAAAAGCCUACCUAGGCGACGAUCUGUAGCUGGUCUGAGAGGACGAUCAGCCACACUGGGACUGAGACACGGCCCAGACUCCUACGGGAGGCAGCAGUGGGGAAUUUUCCGCAAUGGGCGAAAGCCUGACGGAGCAAUACCGCGUGAGGGAGGAAGGCUCUUGGGUUGUAAACCUCUUUUCUCAAGGAAGAAGAAAGUGACGGUACUUGAGGAAUAAGCAUCGGCUAACUCCGUGCCAGCAGCCGCGGUAAUACGGAGGAUGCAAGCGUUAUCCGGAAUGAUUGGGCGUAAAGCGUCCGUAGGUGGUUUUGUGUGUCUACUGUUAAAGCGUGCGGCUCAACCGCAUAAGGGCGGUGGAAACUACAAGACUAGAGUACGUUCGGGGCAGGGGGAAUUCCCAGUGUAGCGGUGAAAUGCGUAGAGAUUGGGAAGAACACCGGUGGCGAAAGCGCCCUGCUAGGCCGUAACUGACACUGAGGGACGAAAGCUAGGGGAGCGAAUGGGAUUAGAUACCCCAGUAGUCCUAGCCGUAAACGAUGGAUACUAGGUGUUGUCUGUAUCGACCCGGACAGUGCCGUAGCUAACGCGUUAAGUAUCCCGCCUGGGGAGUACGCAGGCAACUGUGAAACUCAAAGGAAUUGACGGGGGCCCGCACAAGCGGUGGAGUAUGUGGUUUAAUUCGAUGCAACGCGAAGAACCUUACCAGGGUUUGACAUGUCUGGAAUUUCUUGGAAACGAGAGAGUGCCUUCGGGAGCCAGAACACAGGUGGUGCAUGGCUGUCGUCAGCUCGUGUCGUGAGAUGUUGGGUUAAGUCCCGCAACGAGCGCAACCCUCGUCCUUAGUUGCCAUCAUUAAGUUGGGAACUCUAGGGAGACUGCCGGUGACAAACCGGAGGAAGGUGGGGAUGACGUCAAGUCAUCAUGCCCCUUACAUCCUGGGCUACACACGUACUACAAUGCUACGGACAAUGGGCAGCAAGCUAGCAAUAGCAAGCAAAUCUCAUAAACCGUGGCUCAGUUCAGAUUGUAGGCUGCAACUCGCCUACAUGAAGGAGGAAUCGCUAGUAAUUGCAGGUCAGCAUACUGCAGUGAAUUCGUUCCCGGGCCUUGUACACACCGCCCGUCACACCAUGGAAGCUGGUCACGCCCGAAGUAGUUAUCCUAACCGUUCGCGGGGGGAGAUUCCGAAGGCAGGGCUGGUGACUGGGGUGAAGUCGUAACAAGGUAGCCGUACCGGAAGGUGUGGCUGGAUCACCUCCUUACCUCCUUUAAGGGAGACCUACCCACUUGGGGAGAAUUGAUAUUAAUAUCAUGAUCACAAGUUGGUCAUCCUAGGUCAUGCGUAAAUUGUUUUUAUCUCAAAAAUACCUUCAAACUAUAUUUCUGGUUUGGCUUUUUCUUAGCACCAUGAAAAGUGGGGUUUUCUUACUUUUCUGUCUGCUGAGUGAAAGCUCAGUGAAAAGAACCUUGAAAAUUGGAUAGAGAAAAAGGCAGUACGAAACACAGACAAAGUAUCUUCAAAGAAGUAGUAGUCGUGCGAAAGUGUGAUUAGUGUGGAUUGUAGGGUACGAGUCGAGUGAGAGAAAAAGUGGUCAAGCGAAUAAGGGCUGAUGGUGGAUACCUAGGCACACAGAG
RNAcentral lists this ribosomal RNA (1855 nucleotides) under Rivulariaceae bacterium UNAM_CR1_Atexcac. RNAcentral's name for it is "bacterial SSU rRNA". The stretch from base 1 to 1482 matches the Rfam family "Bacterial small subunit ribosomal RNA". Lineage: Bacteria; Bacillati; Cyanobacteriota; Cyanophyceae; Nostocales; Rivulariaceae. The record is from RNAcentral.